Molecule: ribosomal RNA, 497 nt
Filed under: uncultured bacterium
Lineage: Bacteria
Description: partial 16S ribosomal RNA
Rfam family: Bacterial small subunit ribosomal RNA
Source: RNAcentral
GAUGAACGCUGGCGGCGUGCCUAAUACAUGCAAGUCGAGCGAACAGACGAGGAGCUUGCUCCUCUGACGUUAGCGGCGGACGGGUGAGUAACACGUGGAUAACCUACCUAUAAGACUGGGAUAACUUCGGGAAACCGGAGCUAAUACCGGAUAAUAUAUUGAACCGCAUGGUUCAAUAGUGAAAGACGGUUUUGCUGUCACUUAUAGAUGGAUCCGCGCCGCAUUAGCUAGUUGGUAAGGUAACGGCUUACCAAGGCAACGAUGCGUAGCCGACGUGAGAGGGUGAUCGCCCACACUGGAACUUAGACACGGUCCAGACUCCUACGGGAGGCACCAGUAGGGAACCGUCCGCAAUGGGCGAAAGCAUGACGGAGCAACGCCGCGUGAGUUAUGAAGGUCUCCGGAUCGUAAAACUCUGUUAUGAGUGAAGAACAAAUGUGUAAGUAACUAUGCACGUCUUGACGGUACCUAAUCAGAAAGCCACGGCUAACUACGUG